RNAcentral lists this ribosomal RNA (451 nucleotides) under uncultured bacterium. Its description in RNAcentral is "partial 16S ribosomal RNA". It matches the Rfam family "Bacterial small subunit ribosomal RNA", at positions 29 to 523 of the family's 1533-position model. The record is from RNAcentral.
AACGAACGCUGGCGGCAUGCCUAACACAUGCAAGUCGCACGGGCGUAGCAAUGCGUUAGUGGCGCACGGGAGAGUAACACGUGGGAAUCUACCUUUUAGUUCGGAACAACACCGGGAAACUGGUGCUAAUACCGGAUACGCCCCGAGGGGGAAAGAUUUAUCGCUAAAAGAGGAGCCCGCGUCUGAUUAGCUAGUUGGUGAGGUAAUGGCUCACCAAGGCGACGAUCAGUAGCUGGUCUGAGAGGACGAUCAGCCUCACUGGGACUGAGACACGGCCCAGACUCCUACGGGAGGCAGCAGUGGGGAAUAUUGGACAAUGGGGGAAACCCUGAUCCAGCAAUGCCGCGUGAGUGAUGAAGGUCUUCGGAUUGUAAAGCUCUUUUGGCAGGGACGAUGAUGACGGUACCUGCAGAAUAAGCUCCGGCUAACUUCGUGCCAGCAGCCGCCGUAA